RNAcentral lists this long non-coding RNA (1071 nucleotides) under Danio rerio (zebrafish). Its description in RNAcentral is "zgc:136683 (ENSDARG00000096818.2)". Lineage: Eukaryota; Metazoa; Chordata; Actinopteri; Cypriniformes; Danionidae. The record is from RNAcentral.
CAGGGCCAUUGGAAAACCACACAGCUACAAUGAAGAUGGGAAUCCUUGAAACAGUUAGCAUCAGGAGCAUGAUGAAGUUUAAGAGCCCUGUCAACUGUGCUGAAUGUCUGCUGUCCUGGAAGAGGAGAUGGUGCUCGACAAUAGGACGCUUUAUCAGUGCAUCGUUUGUGCUUUUGGAUUAUAGUAUCUACUCAACCUGGAAUACAAUGACUAAAUAGGUUUACAUGGUAAAUAUUUGAAAACAGAUGCAGCUUUAUGUGCUUGAAGUUCCUCUUGAAGAUUUUUUUUUACUUUUCUUGAAACUUUUAUAAGUUUUUUUUUUGUUCUGGAAUCAUCUGUGUCAACUGGGUAAAGUAACCCAUUGUUUAGAUUUGAUGGUGCUUUUGACAAUUUUAAUAUUCAUUAAUUAAUUUUCCUUCUGCUUAGUCCCCUGUUUAUGAGGGGGAGCCACAGCGGAAUGAACCGUUCAUUGUUUAUAUGCAAAUAUAUUAGAUGUUUAAUGUUAAUGAAUGGGUUUAACCAUUAAAAAUGUGAUUUCAUAAGUUCAGAUUAUCUUUUGUAGAAUGAAAGUAUUCAGUUUUUUUUUUUUACAUUUUUGCAGAUAUUUGAGAUAUAUAUUAAGUACACUUCAGCUCUAUGUAUUGACCUUAUUCCUCACGUACGAGCAGGCGCAGCCAUUUGAAUCUUUUUGGCUGGAGAUUUCCGCUCUCAUUCACUUCCUUUGAUUUUUAGACGUUAAAAACUGUUUGUUUUGAUGCUUGAUGUUGCAAUCUGAUAUUUUCUUAAUAUAUUAUUCUGCUUUGUCUAUAGAGUCAUAAACACACUAGUUUGUAGAGCAAGUAGUUUGUCUGUUUUCCGCUGUUUAAUAUUCCUAGUCAUUUCUCCCAUAGGGCACUGAAUCAGAUGUUCGAAAACAAAUCGGAAAAACUUCCGCCUUAAAGAAUGAGGUCAAUAUUAGGAGAAAUUAAAUGCUAGAAUUUAUACGGUAUACUUUGUUGAAAUGUGUAAUGUAUUUGUUAUUCUAAAGUACUUUUACAAUAGUGUCUCUUUAAUAAAAAUAAAUAAAUAAAU